Long non-coding RNA from Numida meleagris (helmeted guineafowl), 511 nucleotides. RefSeq lists it as uncharacterized. The record is from RefSeq and is a predicted model, not a curated record. Lineage: Eukaryota; Metazoa; Chordata; Aves; Galliformes; Numididae. The transcript is spliced from 2 exons.
CCUUGAAUGCCUCCGGGGAGGGGGCAUCCACAGCCUCCCCAGGCAAACUGUUCAGUGUCUCACCACCCCCACAGUAACGAAUUUCUUCCUAAUAUCUAGUCUAAAUCUACCCUCUUCCAGUUCAAAGCCAUUGAUGGCUACAAAGCCAAAUGUUUCACUCCUUCAUGACUACUUAGUCAAAGUGAGUCCUGUACCCACCUGACUGCUCUUUCAGCUGGAGCCAAGAGUGCAGUGUGUUGCAGAAGUACCAGCCAAAGCUGGUUAUAACCUGACUGCCCUGCCUUGACAAGCACCUGCUCUGAUUCAUGCUGCUGUUGUGAUAAACCAACCCAUGAGUGCUGGGGUUCUCAUCAAGUUUGUACAGUGACAGUGUUAUCCCUGAUACUCCACAGAAACAGAGGAAGGCAGAGUGCUGCUUUCAGGCUCUCUGCUGUAGUUUCCUCACUUCUGUGUUAUGGCUACUGCAGUGCAUAUGCUUGAAGUGAAACAAGCAUCAUCAACUUGUUUACUA